RNAcentral lists this ribosomal RNA (478 nucleotides) under uncultured bacterium. RNAcentral's name for it is "partial 16S ribosomal RNA". It matches the Rfam family "Bacterial small subunit ribosomal RNA", at positions 28 to 523 of the family's 1533-position model. The record is from RNAcentral.
GACGAACGCUGGCGGCGUGCUUAACACAUGCAAGUCGAACGGUAAGGCCCUUCGGGGUACACGAGUGGCGAACGGGUGAGUAACACGUGGGUGAUCUGCCCUGCACUUCGGGAUAAGCCUGGGAAACUGGGUCUAAUACCGGACAGGACCACUGCCUGCAUGGGUGGUGGUGGAAAGCUUUUGCGGUGUGGGAUGGGCCCGCGGCCUAUCAGCUUGUUGGUGGGGUGAUGGCCUACCAAGGCGACGACGGGUAGCCGGCCUGAGAGGGUGACCGGCCACACUGGGACUGAGAUGCGGCCCAGACUCCUACGGGAGGCAGCAGUGGGGAAUAUUGCACAAUGGGCGCAAGCCUGAUGCAGCGACGCCGCGUGAGGGAUGACGGCCUUCGGGUUGUAAACCUCUUUCAGCACCGACGAAGCGCAAGUGACGGUAGGUGCAGAAGAAGGACCGGCCAACUACGUGCCAGCAGCCGCGGUAA